UUUUAUGGAGAGUUUGAUCCUGGCUCAGGAUGAACGCUGGCGGCGUGCCUAAUACAUGCAAGUCGAGCGAACAGACGAGGAGCUUGCUCCUCUGACGUUAGCGGCGGACGGGUGAGUAACACGUGGAUAACCUACCUAUAAGACUGGGAUAACUUCGGGAAACCGGAGCUAAUACCGGAUAAUAUAUUGAACCGCAUGGUUCAAUAGUGAAAGACGGUUUUGCUGUCACUUAUAGAUGGAUCCGCGCCGCAUUAGCUAGUUGGUAAGGUAACGGCUUACCAAGGCAACGAUGCGUAGCCGACCUGAGAGGGUGAUCGGCACACUGGAACUGAG
Molecule: ribosomal RNA, 333 nt
Filed under: Staphylococcus epidermidis IS-K
Lineage: Bacteria; Bacillati; Bacillota; Bacilli; Caryophanales; Staphylococcaceae
Description: bacterial SSU rRNA
Rfam family: Bacterial small subunit ribosomal RNA
Source: RNAcentral